AAUAAAGUGCCUGAAAAAGGGUUAUCUUGAUAGGAUAAAUCAUGCAAUAAAAAGCCUUUAUUA
This 63-nucleotide transfer RNA is filed under the name Ceruchus minor. RNAcentral's name for it is "tRNA-Ile". Lineage: Eukaryota; Metazoa; Arthropoda; Insecta; Coleoptera; Lucanidae. The record is from RNAcentral.